RNAcentral lists this ribosomal RNA (446 nucleotides) under uncultured bacterium. RNAcentral's name for it is "bacterial SSU rRNA". It matches the Rfam family "Bacterial small subunit ribosomal RNA", at positions 28 to 457 of the family's 1533-position model. The record is from RNAcentral.
GAUGAACGCUGGCGGCGUGCUUAACACAUGCAAGUCGAACGGGAAAUAUUUUAUUGAAGCUUCGGUUGAUUUAAUUUAUUUCUAGUGGCGGACGGGUGAGUAACGCGUGGGUAACCUGCCUUAUACUGGGGGAUAACAGCCAGAAAUGACUGCUAAUACCGCAUAAGCGCACAGAACCGCAUGGUCCGGUGUGAAAAACUCCGGUGGUAUAAGAUGGACCCGCGUUGGAUUAGCUGGUUGGCAGGGCAGCGGCCUACCAAGGCAACGAUCCAUAGCCGGCCUGAGAGGGUGAACGGCCACAUUGGGACUGAGACACGGCCCAGACUCCUACGGGAGGCAGCAGUGGGGAAUAUUGCACAAUGGGGGAAACCCUGAUGCAGCGACGCCGCGUGAAGGAAGAAGUAUCUCGGUAUGUAAACUUCUAUCAGCAGGGAAGAUAAUGACGG